RNAcentral lists this unclassified non-coding RNA (229 nucleotides) under rhizosphere metagenome. RNAcentral describes it as "partial ribosomal RNA internal transcribed spacer region". The record is from RNAcentral.
GUAGGUGAACCUGCGGAAGGAUCAUUAUCGAGUUAGGGUCCUCUGGGCCCGAUCUCCAACCCUGUGUUUAAUUACCAUGUUGCUUUGGCGGGCCCGUUCUCACGACCGCCGGGGGUUCUAAACCUUUGGCCCGUGCCCGUCAAUGGCCCCUUCAAAUUCUUGACAAAAUGUGAUGUCUGAGUUAUAAAAUUAAUAGUUAAAACUUUCAACAACGGAUCUCUUGGUUCUG